AAUUAAUAAGGUCAGAAAUACAAUUCACACACUACUACUAGCUAAUAAUCUUAAUUUAAAAUAAUUCAUAAAUAACAAAUAGUAAAUAACAAAAAAAGUAAAAAUUUAAAAAACUGUAAGAAGCAAAUUGAGAUAAUAUGAACCUCAAAAUCAAGAGUCGACACCAGCUGUGAAAUGAGAUAAAGGAAAUGGAGAGAAGUGAAAAAUCAAAAUGCGACGAGGUGUGCAAACCGAACAAGAAGAGAGAGCAAGAGUAUUGAGAUAAGAGAAAAAAUAGGUUAAAACAGAAAGAGACUAAAUAAAAUGAGUUUCUCUCUAUAUUUAGAGAAAGUUUAAUAACUUAUUUCCUUAUUUUAAAUUUUUUUAGAAAUAAAAUAAGAGCAUAGAGGAUGCGUUGAACACAACAUUGAUUACCUUGACUCACCUUAAUUUUUGCAAUUUUAUCAUGAAA
RNAcentral lists this long non-coding RNA (451 nucleotides) under Cicer arietinum (chickpea). Its description in RNAcentral is "long non-coding RNA (CARI_LNC000594)". Lineage: Eukaryota; Viridiplantae; Streptophyta; Magnoliopsida; Fabales; Fabaceae. The record is from RNAcentral.